GAUGAACGCUAGCGGCAGGCCUAACACAUGCAAGUCGAGGGGCAUCAUGGCGUAGCAAUACGCUGAUGGCGACCGGCGCACGGGUGCGUAACGCGUAUGGAACCUACCCACCGCAGGGGGAUAACCCGCCGAAAGGCGGACUAAUACCCCAUGGUUCCCCGACCCUGCCUGGGGUUGGGGGUAAAGCCUACGGGCGGCGGUGGAUGGCCCUGCGUGCCAUUAGCUGGCUGGUGGGGUAACGGCCCACCAGGGCGACGAUGGCUAGGGGGUCUGAGAGGACGAUCCCCCACACUGGUACUGAGACACGGACCAGACUCCUACGGGAGGCAGCAGUGAGGAAUAUUGGUCAAUGGGUGGGAGCCUGAACCAGCCAAGUCGCGUGAAGGAAGAAGGAUCUAUGGUUCGUAAACUUCUUUUGCAGGGGAAUAAAGUGCAGGACGUGUCCUGUUUUGUAUGUACCCUGAGAAUAAGGAUCGGCUAACUCCGUG
This 488-nucleotide ribosomal RNA is filed under the name uncultured bacterium. RNAcentral describes it as "bacterial SSU rRNA". It matches the Rfam family "Bacterial small subunit ribosomal RNA", at positions 28 to 507 of the family's 1533-position model. The record is from RNAcentral.